Molecule: ribosomal RNA, 449 nt
Filed under: Bacillus pumilus
Lineage: Bacteria; Bacillati; Bacillota; Bacilli; Caryophanales; Bacillaceae
Description: bacterial SSU rRNA
Rfam family: Bacterial small subunit ribosomal RNA
Source: RNAcentral
CGAGCGGACAGAAGGGAGCUUGCUCCCGGAUGUUAGCGGCGGACGGGUGAGUAACACGUGGGUAACCUGCCUGUAAGACUGGGAUAACUCCGGGAAACCGGAGCUAAUACCGGAUAGUUCCUUGAACCGCAUGGUUCAAGGAUGAAAGACGGUUUCGGCUGUCACUUACAGAUGGACCCGCGGCGCAUUAGCUAGUUGGUGGGGUAAUGGCUCACCAAGGCGACGAUGCGUAGCCGACCUGAGAGGGUGAUCGGCCACACUGGGACUGAGACACGGCCCAGACUCCUACGGGAGGCAGCAGUAGGGAAUCUUCCGCAAUGGACGAAAGUCUGACGGAGCAACGCCGCGUGAGUGAUGAAGGUUUUCGGAUCGUAAAGCUCUGUUGUUAGGGAAGAACAAGUGCGAGAGUAACUGCUCGCACCUUGACGGUACCUAACCAGAAAGCCACG